RNAcentral lists this ribosomal RNA (253 nucleotides) under uncultured bacterium. RNAcentral's name for it is "partial 16S ribosomal RNA". It matches the Rfam family "Bacterial small subunit ribosomal RNA", at positions 524 to 776 of the family's 1533-position model. The record is from RNAcentral.
UACAGAGGUCCCAAGCGUUGUUCGGAUUUACUGGGCGUAAAGCGUACGCAGGCGGCUUUGCAAGACAGGCGUGAAAUCCCCGGGCCUAACCUGGGAACUGCAUUUGUGACUGCAUGGUUAGAGUUUGUCAGAGGGGGGUGGAAUUCCACGUGUAGCAGUGAAAUGCGUAGAUAUGUGGAGGAGCACCGAUGGCGAAGGCAGCCCCCUGGGAUGUGACUGACGCUCAUGUACGAAAGCGUGGGGAGCAAACAGG